RNAcentral lists this ribosomal RNA (253 nucleotides) under uncultured bacterium. RNAcentral describes it as "partial 16S ribosomal RNA". It matches the Rfam family "Bacterial small subunit ribosomal RNA", at positions 524 to 776 of the family's 1533-position model. The record is from RNAcentral.
UACAGAGGGGGCAAGCGUUGUCCGGAAUUAUUGGGCGUAAAGAGCUCGUAGGCGGCUUGUCGCGUCGGCUGUGAAAACCUGGGGCUCAACCCCGGGCCUGCAGCCGAUACGGGCAAGCUAGAAUUCGGUAGGGGAGACUGGAAUUCCUGGUGUAGCGGUGAAAUGCGCAGAUAUCAGGAGGAACACCGGUGGCGAAGGCGGGUCUCUGGGCCGAUAUUGACGCUGAGGAGCGAAAGCGUGGGGAGCGAACAGG